GCCCAGGUAGCUCAGUGGUAGAGCACCCCCUUGGUAAGGGGGAGGUCGUGAGUUCAAGUCUCAUCCUGGGCUCCC
This 75-nucleotide transfer RNA is filed under the name Deltaproteobacteria bacterium. RNAcentral's name for it is "tRNA-Thr". It matches the Rfam family "tRNA". From Rfam's summary of the family: Transfer RNA (tRNA) molecules are approximately 80 nucleotides in length. Their secondary structure includes four short double-helical elements and three loops (D, anti-codon, and T loops). The record is from RNAcentral. Lineage: Bacteria; Pseudomonadati; Myxococcota; Myxococcia.